Molecule: ribosomal RNA, 899 nt
Filed under: Gambierdiscus excentricus
Lineage: Eukaryota; Dinophyceae; Gonyaulacales; Pyrocystaceae
Description: LSU rRNA
Rfam family: Eukaryotic large subunit ribosomal RNA
Source: RNAcentral
AAAUUAAGCAUAUAAGUUGGCAGAGGAAGUGACACAAAAGUGGACUCACACAGUAGUUGCGAACGAAGAGUGAAAGACUCAAUUCGAAAUGUGUGGGUUUCUGCCCAUGACAUGAAAUCUCCGAAUGUGUGACUAAGGGUGGUGCAGGUGUGAGCCAUCUUGCAAGAGGGGAGGGCGUGCAUCAACAAGGGUGAGAAUCCUGUGUGUUGCUUGCAGACUUCUGUGUACAGUGCCCAUUUUCAGAAUCAUGCUCUUUGGAACUGGAGUGCAAAGUGGGUGGUAGCUCCCACUCAAAGUCGAACAUGACAUUGGGACUGACAGGGGAGAAGUACCGUGAGGGAAGCGUGAAAAGGACUUUGGAAAGAGAUUUAAAAGAGCCUGCACUUGCUGAGUGCCAAGCACACAGGAUGGCAGAGGUGGGAGAGAUUGCUGCGUGCGUGUGCAAUUCUGGCUGUCACCAGACAGGAGCUUGCCAUGCAUGCUUGUGCUGCAUGUGGAGAUUCUUUUCUUGAGUGCCAGUAUGUAUGUAUGUAGUCGAUGCCUGUUGGCAUUGCUUGUGGUGUAUCCUGGGAUAUGUGAUUGUGUGUGCCUUGUCUGAACGUGCCGAAGGCUCUGUUGCACUGUGACCCAAGCUAUCAGCAUGCCUGUCUGUAUUCACUGUUGGGGAGUCCAUGACCAGUGUGUUUGCGGUGAGCUCCAUUCUGUGUGACCCGUCUUUGAAACACAGACCAAGGAGUCUAGCAUAGUUGCAAGCUUUGUGGGGGAGAGAACUCAGUGCACAAUGAAGGUGGAGUCCCAGAGUGGGCAUGAGUGUUCAACCAAGCAGCAGGAUGAGGUUUGAGCCUGAGUAUGCCCGCUAGGACCCGAAAGAUGGUGAACUAUGCCUGGGAAGGGCAAAG